Molecule: long non-coding RNA, 1021 nt
Organism: Sebastes umbrosus (honeycomb rockfish)
Lineage: Eukaryota; Metazoa; Chordata; Actinopteri; Perciformes; Sebastidae
Exons: 3
Source: RefSeq, a predicted model, not a curated record
CAUGUUGGCUCCUCCUGAGACCGACUCCACCUUGUAGCUCUGAGUCUUCCUGUUCUGAUCCUUCUGGAUCAGCUUGUUGUGCAGCGGAGGCCUGGUGUCCAUCGACCCCCGGCUGUGACCUCCACCCUUCACGGUCGCCACGCCGGGCAACACCGUCACCGUCACCGUCACAUUGGCUUCUUCUACCUGAUUUCCAGCGUUGUCUGCAGGAGUAAAGAUAAGAUGCACAGAUUUGCCACCAGAAGAGAAAUAUGCUGCACCAGGGAAGAUUUCCUCUGUGUUGACUGUUCCCAAACCUGUGGAGGUUUCCACACCACUGGCCACAUCCCCUGCUGACAUCAAAGGAUGGUCAUAUGAGAUCCACCAGAUCUCUUUCUUGACAGUCCACCACCAGAGUGAUGUUACAUGAACCAAUACAGACACUAAAUGAAGAAGAGGGAGAAGAAAAGAGGAAACAAAUAUUUAAAGAAGAAUUAAUGGCAGACAGGAAUGACAGAAAAAUGUAUAUUCAAAUUUCUUUUAUUUGACCAUACAUUUUCAUCAAGAUAGUCUGUUAGAUGUAAAUCACUUGACAUGAAGUGAUACAGAGACAAAAUAAAGAUGAGGAAGCAAAAAAAGAGGAAAAGUUCAGAAAAGAAUAGAAUGGAAAUCAAUGGCAACCCGAAUUGUAGGAAAAAGGAAAUUCAAGUUCUGCAUUUAUUUAUUUGACCAUAAAUUUAAUGGUCCAAGAACCAACACUAACUGCAAAUGAAGAAGAGGAAGAAAAGGAAGAACAAUGAAAGAGGAAAAAAAAGAAUCAAAUAAAAACCUAUGGCUGCCUGGAAUGGUUGGAAAGUUGCAUUUGAAUUUGUAAAACAUAUAUGUAUUUAUUUAUUAAACCAUAAAUUUAAACUGGAAGGUCUCUUAAAAUGUAGAUCCCUUUUAAGCAGAGUCCUGCCAAUACAGAUACUAUUAAGAAGAAAAUAAAAUAAAGGAGGAAAUAAACAUAAAUGCAUGAAAUUAAUGGAAAACAAUGGCUGCC